RNAcentral lists this ribosomal RNA (253 nucleotides) under uncultured bacterium. RNAcentral's name for it is "partial 16S ribosomal RNA". It matches the Rfam family "Bacterial small subunit ribosomal RNA", at positions 524 to 776 of the family's 1533-position model. The record is from RNAcentral.
UACGUAGGGUGCAAGCGUUAAUCGGGAUUACUGGGCGUAAAGCGUGCGCAGGCGGUUGUGUAAGACAGAUGUGAAAUCCCCGGGCUCAACCUGGGAACUGCAUUUGUGACUGCACGGCUCGAGUGCGGCAGAGGGGGAUGGAAUUCCGCGUGUAGCAGUGAAAUGCGUAGAUAUGCGGAGGAACACCGAUGGCGAAGGCAAUCCCCUGGGCCUGCACUGACGCUCAUGCACGAAAGCGUGGGGAGCAAACAGG